Molecule: ribosomal RNA, 775 nt
Filed under: uncultured Neocallimastigales
Lineage: Eukaryota; Fungi; Neocallimastigomycota; Neocallimastigomycetes; Neocallimastigales
Description: partial large subunit ribosomal RNA
Rfam family: Eukaryotic large subunit ribosomal RNA
Source: RNAcentral
GUACACGCUGUGACUAGCAUAUCAAUAAGCGGAGGAAAAGAAACUAACAAGGAUUCCCCUAGUAACGGCGAGUGAAGCGGGAAGAGCUCAAAUUUGAAAUCUUAAAGGGUUUCCCUUUACGAAUUGUAGUUUAAAGAAGUGUUUUCUGUUGAGGUUUUGGUAAAAGUUCUUUCGGAAUAGGACAUCAUAGAGGGUGAGAAUCCCGUAUUUGACCUUUACUUUCAACUUUGUGAUACACUUUCAAAGAGUCGGAUUGUUUGGGAAUGCAGUCCAAAAUGGGUGGUAAAUUUCAUCUAAAGCUAAAUAUUGGCGAGAGACCGAUAGCGAACAAGUACCGUGAGGGAAAGAUGAGAAGAACUUUGAAAAGAGAGUUAAACAGUACGUGAAAUUGUCAAAAGGGAAGCGUUUGACACCAGUGUUGUUUUUCUGAAAAUCAAUUAAAGAACUGUUUAUGCUAAGCUGUUUAGACUUUAUCAGCUAUCUGUUUAGUUUUGAGCUUUUCUUUAAUGCACUUUUCAGUUAACAAGUCGACAUCAAUUUCUUUUGCUGUAAAAAAGCUUGAGGAAGGUGGCUUGAGAUUCGUCUUAAGUGUUUAUAGCCUCUUGCCUAUGCAGUCGGAGAGAUUGAGGUCUGCAGCGUAGAUCCUUCGGGGCUAAACGCAUUUGUGCUAAGUUAUAGCAUUUUAUAGACAACUUGUUGACUAUGAUUUGUCUUGUAGCUUACUCGCUUAUGUUAUUUUACCUACGCUUAGGAUGUUGAAGUCAUCGUAUCGCGC